RNAcentral lists this unclassified non-coding RNA (209 nucleotides) under Hevea brasiliensis (rubber tree). Lineage: Eukaryota; Viridiplantae; Streptophyta; Magnoliopsida; Malpighiales; Euphorbiaceae. The record is from RNAcentral.
GGGCCCGGGGCGCUCGUUGUGGCAAGGAUAUUGGAUUUUGGAUAGCUCAAUUUAUGAGCCAGGGUAGGGUGGAACAUGACUCGUCUUCUAUUAUCUGUCCGGUCAAAGAUGACGAAGUUCUUGGGGCAGUUUUCAUACGGUUGGAACUCGAAUCUAUCAAGAAGAGACGGAACUUCUUGAUUCCCUUCAAGAGCAAGGCCAACAGCAGG